UUGUUUACCCAACUGGUGACAAAUUUCAUCGAAAGUACACUUCUAGAACAGUUUAAUGCAAGCGCAGUGUCUUUCAAAAAUUAAACAUGAUGUCCUACUUUUCUACAAUUUUCUGAUAUUCAACAAAAAAACUCGAUAUUUUGAAGACUAAUCUCGCAGUGUUAGGAUGGCGUUUUCACCGUCUUUUCGCAAAAAAAAAGGAACGACCAGUAGAGGCAAAGAAUACGAAAUCGUUUUUUCAAGUUACGUUAUUUUAAAAUUACUCCAAGAUGACAAAAUUGAGAAUUUUUGGUUAUCGAUGGACAAUGACAGUUUUGGUUCAUUUGACGAUGCCGUAAUUGAAAUUAAAUAUUUCGGUGUGGAUCAACUUAAAACCUAUGCAAUUCAGUUAAAACACAAAGAAAGUCGCGGGGUUUCGGUAGAGAACUUGAAAGAAGAAAAAGGGGAUUUCAGUCUCAAUAAAUAUUUCGAGGAUUUAGAAAAAAAUUGCGGAAAACAUUUCAAGAUGAUUCUAUUCACCAACAGUAAAUUUGCAAAUAAGUUACCUAUGUUCGAGUUGAAACUUGGAAGUGAAACCUGUGUUGUUGAAGGAAAGGAAUGUGAAACACAUAUAGAUUUUCUUCCAACUGCAUCUAACGGCCAGUGUCACAAAUUUCAAAUUUCAAACACAACGUUUAAUGAAUAUUUCGAACAAUUUCUAUUCUAUUCUGGUCAGAUGAAAACACACAGUUUGAAAACGGCAUCCUCAAAAAUAUUUCGAGAAAUGUUCUCUUGCGAAGAGAAUAUUUUUACUGACUUUUUAAUGUUUGUAACAGAAUGGAGUAUGACUAAAGGAAUGAAACAAAAAUUGGACAAGUCAUGGAUUAAACAUGCUAUUGCGAUUCGAGUUUUAACCCCUUUCAUUAAACCGUUGUCAUUUGAUAAAGAACCAGAAAACUCAAAAGGGACCGAAAUCCUACGAAACGCUAUUGGAAAAUUUCCAGUCACCGUAUUUGAAACGGAAGAGGACGACAAAAUAAAAACUAUUUGGCAACCACUUGUUCGAGACGUUGAUUUUGAAAAAAUGAAUAAAAUGCGAAUAAAAUACAACGUAAUGUCAAAUUACGUAGGAAAAUUAGAAGACUUGAAGAAAGAAAAUGUUGCAAAUAGUAAAUUAUUGUGGCUUGUAAAAAUGUGCCCUUUGGUUGUUGAAGGCCACGUAAAAAUGUCGGCACUUGAUUUAGUCGAAGAUGGCAACAUUGUUAUCUUAAAUCCAAAAUUUAACGUAAGCAGUUUGAAGUGUUUAAAAGACAAGAAAAAUGUUUGUUUUCAAAAUUUGGGGGAUUUGGAAAACUACAAAGAAGUUUACGACAAUAUGUUGGACACCUACCAGUAUUCCAUCGAAGGACAAGAAAAAGCGAACUUAAGAAGUCUAGUUAGUAAUGGAUGCGUAAGGGCCGAACAUUUUACAACCGAUGCACUUCUAGAAAUGAGCACAAGUGAUGUGAAACUAAUUGGAAGCAAAGAAAAAACCUCGUUGCCCAAGUAUCAUAUUCCAAGAAGAUUAUCUAAAAUCGUCAUCGAUUCCAAAUUUCUAAACAAAUUUACUAACAGAAGCAUAGUUUUUAUAAGUUGUGUUAAAGAUAUGCACCAUUUUAAACUUUGUUACAAGAAUGUUGUUUUUUUAACAAUUCAAGAUAUCUCCAUUAAAGAUGAUUUAAAAAGUACAUACAAAGAUAAAAAAAUUAUAGUUACAAGUGAAGCUGAAUUUCCUCGUCAACAACUUGAAGUAAUGUGGUCUCAAACUUGUAAAGAAUUUCAAAAUUGUCAUCAUUUCAAUUAUCUUGACAUGAGGUGCCUAGAAUGGAUUCGAAGCAAAAAUGGUGUUGAAGAAUUAAGGGAAUAUCAGCUCAAAAGUGAGUGUUUUGUAAAAGAAGCCACCUUCUUCAGUUAUUCAGAUCAAAAUCUUCUACAUGUCUUUUGCGAAAAUCCAGGAAUGGGAAAAAGCACUUUAAUGAGAAGCUUGAAAUCUCAAACUUCUUCUUCGUGUUGGACAAUUUUGGUUUUAGCAAGUAACCACGUAGAGCAUUUUCGAAAGAAUAAAGAAGCGGAUGUUGAUAAUUUCUUGAACUACAUUGUGAAGGAAAAUUGUAAGAAGUAUCAAAACUUUGACAAAACAGUUUUGAAAAGCCUGGUGAAUAACAACGUGAUUGAAAUACUGUGGGACGGCCUUGAUGAAGUUUCUCCAAUAGUUUUGAAAACAAUUAACAAUCUGAUUAACAAGUUUCUUCAAAAAGGUGUCAAGCAAUGGAUUACUUCUAGAAUUUGUUUAAAACACACUCUAGAAAAUGAGUUCAACGUAUUUUCAAGAUCCAUCAAACAAUUCACUAAACAAGAUCAACAGAGUUACAUGAAAGAUCGUCUAAAAUGUAGUGAUGAAGAUUUGUUGUCUACUUUUUCAAAAAUUCAGUCCAGUAUUCAACUUUUCCCAAACAACGACAUUUUAGGGAUUCCUCUUCAAUUGUUCAUGUUGACAGAAUUAUUUCUUGAAGAUGAGGCAAAAUACUCUGCUUUACUAGAUAAAAUAUUCUCUAUUGCGGAUUUAUACGAACAUUUUAUUGAAAAAAUAAUUCGUGAUAACUUUGAAGGGAAACAAAAAAUUCCACUUAAUGUUUCAAAAAAUAAUGAAAGAUUUGAGAACGAAAUGUUACAAGCUAUUGACGAUUAUAAAGUGAUAGCAUUACAACUAUAUUUUGGAGACCAGUUUGACAAAAAUAAAAAUAAUGUGCAUGAUUUAUUAACAAAAAUUAAAGAAGAAACGGAUCCUUUUGGUUUCAUAAUAAACGUAACACAAGAUUUAACACCUCAGUUUUUACACAACUCUUACGGUGAAUAUUUUGCGGCUUUAUACUUAAGUAAAAAUUACAAUCAAAUUCAUCUGAUUAAAACAUUUUUUGCUGAGGAAAAAUACGACAACAUCCGAUUUUUCUUGGAUUUAAUUUUAGCAAAAGAUUGCAAAGCUCAUAUAGCCGUGUUGUAUAAAAACAGUCAACUUUUAGACGAUUGUACUGAAAACGACAUCCAUUUUAAAGACAAGAUAGGACGCAGUAGUCUAGAACUGUCUUGUCAGUGGAGUAACAAAUAUCCCUUGUUAAAAACUGAGAAGAAAAACAAUUCUUAUACAAUUUACGAAAAUUCAUUAGUAAACUCUACAUACAGAAAAAUGGUGAAAAAUUUAGAUAAGGUUUCAAAACAUUUUCAAGAUGGUGAGGUGGAUGUACAACUGAAAAAAAUUAUCCUUUUAUUUCCUUUUACAAUAGCAUUCUUUGAUAACGUUCUUGAAUUAGAUGAAAAGAUUUCUCCGUCAAUAUUUUAUUAUUCAAUCAAAUUUAAUCAUACUAUUGUAUUAUCAUAUUUUAAAGACAUUCCUUUUAUUCAUAUUAAAAGCUUCAACUCAAGGACAAUGUUAAAUCUAACAAUUCAAUUUCGAGCAAUUCAUUUUGUUAAUACGCUACUUUCAAAUCAUAAAUAUAAAGAUUUCAUAUUUAAAGACAUCAAUGUUUCAUAUGAAAUGUGCCAGUUGGAAUCAAAAGAAUUUUUAAAAGCUUUUCAAGAUUAUGGCUGGGACAUUAAUAUGUUACACACCAACGGCCAGGCGGUAAUACACCUUGUUUGUAAACAUGGUACCCUUUCUACAUUAAAUUUUAUUCUUGACAACGGGGCUCAACUUAGUCUACCUAGUUGUUCCAAACAAAUGCCGAUACAUUACGCAUGUGAAAAUGGAAAUGUAGAUGUUGUAAAAUUACUUUUAGAUAAAGGUGUGAAUGCGGAUAUCCAAGAUAAUGAUGGCAAAGUGCCGAUACAUUACGCAUGUAAAAGUAGAAAUGUAGAUGUUGUAAAAUUACUUUUAGAUAAAGGUGUCAAUGCGGAUAUCCAAGAUAAUGAUGGCAAAGUGCCGAUACAUUACGCAUGUGAAAGUGAAAAUGUCGAUGUUGUAAAAUUACUUUUAGAUAAAGGUGUGAAUGCGGAUAUCCAAGAUAAUGAUGGCAAAGUGCCGAUACAUUACGCAUGUGAAUAUUUUUUGAAUAGAGAUAUUGUAAAAUUACUUUUAGAUAAAGGUGUCAAUGCGGAUAUCCAAGAUAAUGAUGGCAAAUUGCCGAUACAUUACGCAUGUGAAAGUGGAAAUGUAAAAGUUGUAAAAUUACUUUUAGAUAAAGGUGUCAAUGCGGAUAUCCAAGAUAAUGAUGGCAAAUUGCCGAUACAUUACGCAUGUGAAAGUGGAAAUGUAAAAGUUGUAAAAUUACUUUUAGAUAAAGGUGUCAAUGCGGAUAUCCAAGAUAAUGAUGGCAAAGUGCCGAUACAUUACGCAUGUGAAUAUUUUUUGGAUAGAGAUAUUGUAAAAUUACUUUUAGAUAAAGAUGUCAAUGCGGAUAUCCAAGAUAAUGAUGGCAAAGUGCCGAUCCAUUACGCAUGUGAAAGUGAAAAUGUCGAUGUUGUAAAAUUACUUUUAGAUAAAGGUGUCAAUGCGGAUAUCCAAGAUAAUAAUGGCAAAGUGCCGAUACAUUUCGCAUGUAAAAGUAGAAAUGUAGAUGUUGUAAAAUUACUUUUAGAUAAAGGUGUCAAUGCGGAUAUCCAAGAUAAUGAUGGCAAAGUGCCGAUCCAUUACGCAUGUGAAAGUGAAAAUGUCGAUGUUGUAAAAUUACUUUUAGAUAAAGAUGUCAAUGCGGAUAUCCAAGAUAAUGAUGGCAAAGUGCCGAUACAUUACGCAUGUGAAUGGUUUUUGAAUAGAGAUAUUGUAAAAUUACUUUUAGAUAAAGGUGUCAAUGCGGAUAUCCAAGAUAAUGAUGGCAAAGUGCCGAUACAUUACGCAUGUGAAUGGUUUUUGAAUAGAGAUAUUGUAAAAUUACUUUUAGAUAAAGAUGUCAAUGCGGAUAUCCAAGAUAAUGAUGGCAAAGUGCCGAUACAUUACGCAUGUGAAUGGUUUUUGAAUAGAGAUAUUGUAAAAUUACUUUUAGAUAAAGGUGUCAAUGCGGAUAUCCAAGAUAAUGAUGGCAAAGUGCCGAUACAUUUCGCAUGUAAAAGUAGAAAUGUAGAUGUUGUAAAAUUACUUUUAGAUAAAGGUGUCAAUGCGGAUAUCCAAGAUAAUGAUGGCAAAGUGCCGAUCCAUUACGCAUGUGAAAGUGAAAAUGUCGAUGUUGUAAAAUUACUUUUAGAUAAAGGUGUGAAUGUAGUCAUUGUAGAUAAUAAUGGCAAAUUGCCGAUACAUUACGCAUGUGAAAGAGGAAAUGUAGAUGUUGUAAAAUUACUUUUAGAUAAAGGUGUCAAUGCGGAUAUCCAAGAUAAUGAUGGCAAAUUGCCGAUACAUUACGCAUGUGAAAGUGGAAAUGUAAAAGUUGUAAAAUUACUUUUAGAUAAAGGUGUCAAUGCGGAUAUCCAAGAUAAUGAUGGCAAAUUGCCGAUACAUUACGCAUGUGAAAGUGGAAAUGUAAAAGUUGUAAAAUUACUUUUAGAUAAAGGUGUCAAUGCGGAUAUCCAAGAUAAUGAUGGCAAAGUGCCGAUACAUUACGCAUGUGAAUAUUUUUUGGAUAGAGAUAUUGUAAAAUUACUUUUAGAUAAAGAUGUCAAUGCGGAUAUCCAAGAUAAUGAUGGCAAAGUGCCGAUCCAUUACGCAUGUGAAAGUGAAAAUGUCGAUGUUGUAAAAUUACUUUUAGAUAAAGGUGUCAAUGCGGAUAUCCAAGAUAAUAAUGGCAAAGUGCCGAUACAUUACGCAUGUGAAUGGUUUUUGAAUAGAGAUAUUGUAAAAUUACUUUUAGAUAAAGGUGUCAAUGCGGAUAUCCAAGAUAAUGAUGGCAAAGUGCCGAUACAUUUCGCAUGUAAAAGUAGAAAUGUAGAUGUUGUAAAAUUACUUUUAGAUAAAGGUGUCAAUGCGGAUAUCCAAGAUAAUGAUGGCAAAGUGCCGAUCCAUUACGCAUGUGAAAGUGAAAAUGUCGAUGUUGUAAAAUUACUUUUAGAUAAAGGUGUGAAUGUAGUCAUUGUAGAUAAUAAUGGCAAAUUGCCGAUACAUUACGCAUGUGAAAGAGGAAAUGUAGAUGUUGUAAAAUUACUUUUAGAUAAAGGUGUGAAUGUAGUCAUUGCAGAUAAUAAUGGCAAAUUGCCGAUACAUUACGCAUGUGAAAGAGGAAAUGUAGAUGUUGUAAAAUUACUUUUAGAUAAAGGUGUGAAUGUAGUCAUUGCAGAUAAUAAUGGCAAAUUGCCGAUACAUUACGCAUGUGCACGUGGAAAUGUAGGUGUUGUAAAAUUACUUUUAGAUAAAGGUGUGAAUGUAGUCAUUGCAGAUAAUAAUGGCAAAUUGGCGAUACAUUACGCAUGUGCACGUGGAAAUGUAGAUGUUGUAAAAUUACUUUUAGAUAAAGGUGUGAAUGUAGUCAUUGCAGAUAAUAAUGGCAAAUUGCCGAUACAUUACGCAUGUGAAUGGUUUUUGAAUGGAAAUAUUGUAAAAUUACUUUUAGAUAAAGGUGUCAAUGCGGAUAUCCAAGAUAAUGAUGGCAAAGUGCCGAUACAUUACGCAUGUGCACGUGGAAAUGUAGAUGUUGUAAAAUUACUUUUAGAUAAAGGUGUGAAUGUAGUCAUUGCAGAUAAUAAUGGCAAAUUGCCGAUACAUUACGCAUGUGAAAGAGGAAAUGUAGAUGUUGUAAAAUUACUUUUAGAUAAAGGUGUGAAUGUAGUCAUUGCAGAUAAUAAUGGCAAAUUGCCGAUAGAUUACGCAUGUGAAAGUGGAAAUGUAGGUGUUGUAAAAUUACUUUUAGAUAAAGGUGUGAAUGUAGUCAUUGCAGAUAAUAAUGGCAAAUUGCCGAUACAUUACGCAUGUGAAAGUGGAAAUGUAGGUGUUGUAAAGUUACUUUUAGAUAAAGGUGUGAAUGUAGUCAUUGCAGAUAAUAAUGGCAAAUUGCCGAUACAUUACGCAUGUGAAAGAGGAAAUGUAGAUGUUGUAAAAUUACUUUUAGAUAAAGGUGUGAAUGUAGUCAUUGCAGAUAAUAAUGGCAAAUUGCCGAUACAUUACGCAUGUGAAAGAGGAAAUGUAGAUGUUGUAAAAUUACUUUUAGAUAAAGGUGUGAAUGUAGUCAUUGCAGAUAAUAAUGGCAAAUUGCCGAUACAUUACGCAUGUGAAUGGUUUUUGAAUGGAAAUAUUGUAAAAUUACUUUUAGAUAAAGGUGUCAAUGCGGAUAUCCCAGAUAAUAAUGGCAAAUUGCCGAUACAUUACGCAUGUGAAAGUGGAAAUGUAGAUGUUGUAAAAUUACUUUUAGAUAAAGGUGUGAAUGUAGUCAUUGCAGAUAAUAAUGGCAAAUUCCCGAUACAUUACGCAUGUGAAAGCGGAAAUGUAGAUGUUGGAAAAUUACUUUUAGAUAAAGGUGUGAAUGUAGUCAUUGCAGAUAAUAAUGGCAAAUUGGCGAUACAUUACGCAUGUGAAAGUGGAAGUGUAGAUGUUGUAAAAUUACUUUUAGAUAAAGGUGUGAAUGUAGUCAUUGCAGAUAAUAAUGGCAAAUUGCCGAUACAUUACGCAUGUGAAAGUGGAAAUGUAGGUGUUGUAAAAUUACUUUUAGAUAAAGGUGUGAAUGUAGUCAUUGCAGAUAAUAAUGGCAAAUUGCCGAUACAUUACGCAUGUGAAAGUGGAAAUGUAGAUGUUGUAAAAUUACUUUUAGAUAAAGGUGUGAAUGUAGUCAUUGCAGAUAAUAAUGGCAAAUUGCCGAUACAUUACGCAUGUGCACGUGGAAAUGUAGGUGUUGUAAAAUUACUUUUAGAUAAAGGUGUGAAUGUAGUCAUUGCAGAUAAUAAUGGCAAAUUGCCGAUACAUUACGCAUGUGCACGUGGAAAUGUAGGUGUUGUAAAAUUACUUUUAGAUAAAGAUGUGAAUGUAGUCAUUGCAGAUAAUAAUGACAAACUGCCUGAAGAUUAUGCAUAUGAAAGUGGAAAUAAAAGUGUUGUAAAAUUACUUUUCUCUUAUAGGUAUUAAUAAUGUUCCUUAUUUCAUAGAUACGGGUAGAGGUAGUACACUUUUAUCUUACAAGUGGUUACUAUGGUAUUAUUUGUUUUAGUUAUUUUUUAUCUUACUAAUAGAAGAAAUUGGACAUUUGGUGUUUUUUUAUACUAUCGGUGAAAAAAUUUAACAAAAAUUGUUACAUAUAAGAGAAAGCGUUGUAUGUAUUAUACACGUAAAGAAAAGUUGGCAUUAUCUGCAAAUGAUGUGUAAUAGGAGACUACUAUUAUCCUUCGACACUUUCAAAAUUUCCGGUUAUUCUCCUGGGUAAGAUAGUUUUGACAACUGGUUGGCAUUUCUCAAUACGAAACGUCAGAUUAUUCUUAACAGAUUUAAAGCAACUUUAAACCUUGUUGAAUCUAAUUUAAAGAAUAAAAUGUUGUAUACAAUACGUUUUCUUGUAAAUCGGUUCAUUUAUUUCACCUCGUGGAUGAUAAACCACUCGUUUACACGCGAGGUUAGAUAAUCCACUCAUGAUAUAAAACGUCCGAUUUAUACUCAAACUUGUUAAAUAAGUAACUAUUACAUAACGGAUAAAAGAGUGAAUGCAGACACUACGUUGUAAUAUCAUAUUAGGCGAUUAGCAAAGUAUUGGCUGUUACUUGAAGCAGAAGCAUUUCCACUAAAGUAUUUUGUUAAAAACUCUUACAUAAGAUAUUGUUAAAGCUUUUCUAAUGUCAAACGAAAAACAAUCAAUUCUAGUUUUUUGUAAAGAUAAUAGUUAAAAUUUUGACCAUGAGGGAAAGUAAAAAUAGUGAAGUAAAUGUGGGGAGUUAUGACAAUUUCAUAAUCUUGGUGCUUUUAUUCAAAAGUUCGUUUACAGAUUCAGUUUUACGCACAGGUUUAGAAAAAAAAAACAAAAAAUCUUUAUUUACUCAAUUUUUUGCAAAAUGUUUUGUAACAAUAUUUGGAACAGUGGUAUGAUGUAGUCUCACAUCCACACAAACACUUACUUGAAUCCACAUUUAUACAGUGUGAGGACACAUAAUGAGUUGCAUUAACAGACCAUGAGCUUGAGAAUCAAAAUGACAGAAUAUUUUUUUUAAAUAAAUGUUGAUGUAUACGUAGAGGCCAGGUUUAAAAUUUUUUGUUUAAAACAGCGUUUUGAGACACACUGAUUUAUUAAAAAGCUACUGAAAUCAAAACCCAAAAUUACUUUUUAAUUUAAAUGUGCAGAAAACUGUGACACAUUUUUUUAUUUAUUUCUAUGAAAAUGAGUACCAUGGCGAGCAUAAAAAAUCAUCAAAAUUGAACGCACCCUGUAAAUCCACUAAAACGCCAGUUUAAACGUCAUUUUCUUCGUAACGAUGUUUCUUGGUAACCGAUAACUAUUCACAAGCUGCUUCCAAAAUGUCUUGUGAAAAAAAAUUAUCACCUAUUGUAACAACGAAAUAGACAAAUGUAACCUUUUUGCUGAAAACAUAAAUUUAUUCCAAACUUUUGGUGUGCCAAACUUUUUGAAAUGUUUCUGUUAACAUACUAGCUAAAAUAGCUAAAAAAACAUUUUUUACGUGUCAGCACGGUGUUGUACAGAUUUAUUAUUUAAUUAUGUAUAAUUAUUAACAAAUUUUUGUAAGUACAGGCUGAAUUCGAAUCUGAGUCUGCAAUAGGCGGUGAAUAAACAAAAUGUGGUUAACUUUUUUAAACUGUUACAUUGACGCAAUGUUGCGAAAUGCUCUAAUAAAAAUCUGAUUGGUGCAUUUCAAAUUCCGCCUUUCUUACACUUUAAAAUAUGAAUAAAGUAUUAGCUGAUAGAGUAGAAAUGUUUUUAUCUACCUAAUGUUUGUCACAAUAAAAACCGAUCAACAACAGAAAAUGAAGCACAGAAACACAGGAUUUGCUACCAAGAAGCAGAACAAUAGUGAAGGGGUGAUAUCUGAAAAAAAUUUCAAGAAUCGAAAUGGGAAAAGGCAUUUAGAAAUAAAAAGCAAGAAUAAUCAUAUUGGAUCAAAUGACGUUUUUUUUUAAAUUGGAAGGGUGUUGGAGCAAAGAAAACUUAAAGAUCAUGACAUCAAACAAAAAGAAAUGGAAAACAAACCCCGGAAGGAAAAGAGACAGGUCGCAGGUGCCAGGUCAUUGGUAAAGUAGCCAAAAGAGAGAAGCACAAGAAAAUUUGGGCAAAGGAGUUCCGUGCUACUUUGUGAUACCUAAAAACGUAGUUCGAAAAUUUUCCAUAGGUUUGGACAAAAUUCAGGAGAAACUUCUAAAAGAAAGGUUCAUCAAAUCUAACGAUGUGUGAAGAAAGAAGGGAAGGUAAACUAUUUUGAAAAAUCAAGAACAAAAAGGAAAAGUCAAUAAAGAUAAAAUAAAAAACAAUAAUUAAAUAAAAAAAAUUGCAAAAGGGAAAGACAAUACGAAGAAACUGUUGCUGACACUGAAUCAAUAAAAAUGUCGAUGAAGAGGCCGUGUUCCAAGAAAACAUCACCCUUAGAUCAUUCCAUUUUGUUAAACCUUCACGAAGAGAACACUCGAACCACUUAUGCUGAUCUGUAUGAGCAUCUCCUUGAUCCAUUUGGAGAAGAAAGAAGAUUCCCUCCUAGUAGCAAGAUUCAAAAGUUGAUGUGGGUUGUUAGGAAGAAUUUAGAAUUGUAAAGUUAGGGCAGAUUCAAGAUACUGUGAUAUGUUAGUUUAUUGAGGCAUCAAACUCUUUUGACCGGACAUAUGUCACAAAGGGGUCAACUUUCUGGUGUUACGUAAUUAACUAAGUUUUGAAGGAUAGGUUUUGCUAAUGUUAUGUAAAUUUCAUAAAAGAAGGUCUAACGAUCAAAUGUCAAAAAAACUAAAGAAAUACGAGGAA
RNA transcript from Tribolium castaneum (red flour beetle), 10811 nucleotides. RefSeq lists it as uncharacterized. The record is from RefSeq and is a predicted model, not a curated record. Lineage: Eukaryota; Metazoa; Arthropoda; Insecta; Coleoptera; Tenebrionidae. The transcript has 6 exons.